RNAcentral lists this ribosomal RNA (397 nucleotides) under uncultured bacterium. RNAcentral's name for it is "partial 16S ribosomal RNA". It matches the Rfam family "Bacterial small subunit ribosomal RNA", at positions 523 to 918 of the family's 1533-position model. The record is from RNAcentral.
AUACGUAGGUGACAAGCGUUAUCCGGAUUUACUGGGCGUAAAGGGCGUGUAGGCGGUCUUGCAAGUCAGAAGUGAAAUUCCUGAGCUCAACUCGGGCGCUGCUUCUGAAACUGCAGGACUUGAGUGCUGGAGGGGAUAGCGGAAUUCCCGGUGUAGCGGUGAAAUGCGUAGAGAUUGGGAGGAACACCAGUGGCGAAGGCGACUUACUGGACUGUAACUGACGCUGAGGCGCGAAAGUGUGGGGAGCAAACAGGAUUAGAUACCCUGGUAGUCCACACUGUAAACGAUGAAUGCUAGGUGUAGGGGGUAUCGACUCCUUCCGUGCCGGAGUUAACACAAUAAGUAAUCCACCUGGGGAGUACGGCCGCAAGGUUGAAACUCAAAGGAAUUGACGGGG